RNAcentral lists this ribosomal RNA (468 nucleotides) under uncultured bacterium. RNAcentral describes it as "partial 16S ribosomal RNA". It matches the Rfam family "Bacterial small subunit ribosomal RNA", at positions 28 to 507 of the family's 1533-position model. The record is from RNAcentral.
GACGAACGCUGGCGGCGUGCUUAACACAUGCCAGUCGAACGGAAAGACCCUGCUUUUGUGGGGUGCUCGAGUGGCGAACGGGUGAGUAACACGUGAGUAUCCUGCCCUUGACUUUGGGAUAACUUCAGGAAACUGGGGCUAAUACCGGAGAGGAGCUCCUGCAGCAUGGUGGGGGUUGGAAAGUUUCGGCGGUUGGGGAUGGACUCGCGGCUUAUCAGCUUGUUGGUGGGGUAGUGGCUGACCAAGUCUUUGACGGAUAGGCGGCCUGAGCGCGGGACCGGCCACAUUGGGACUGAGAGAGGGCCCAGACUGCUACGGGAGGCAGCAGUGGGGAAUAUUGCACAAUGGGCGGAAGCGUGAUGCAGCAGCGCCGCGUGCGGGAUGACGGCCUUCGGGGUGUAAACCGCUUUCGCCUGUGACGAAGCGUGAGUGACGGUAAUGAGUAAAGAAGCACCGGCUAACUACGUG